UACCUGUAAUGUCACUACUGCUAAGAUAAUUUGCAUUUUGAAAAAAAUUCUUAGUUUCUCAAAUGAAAAAGUAGAAGCCGAAAGCCACUACUAUCCAAGAACUCAGAACUGUCAGCAUCUGCCUGCCAAUGCCUCACAGGAACUGAAACAAGAUGACAUUUGUAAGUAUUAUCAUUAGGAUAUACCUGAAGGCGCAUUGGACUUGAAUGAGGAAGACCUUGAACUAGCUGUGAACGCCCGG
RNAcentral lists this long non-coding RNA (241 nucleotides) under Dasypus novemcinctus (nine-banded armadillo). RNAcentral describes it as "lncRNA (ENSDNOG00000050528.1)". Lineage: Eukaryota; Metazoa; Chordata; Mammalia; Cingulata; Dasypodidae. The record is from RNAcentral.